AUAUUAAAGGUUAUUAUUUAAAGGAAGAGUAAUGAGGUCCAAGAAACUUUUUUUUUAACUAUAAGGCUUCAUUUGGUUUGGGGUUAAGUAAAAACUAAUUAUUUCAGGGAUAGGGUUAAGUAAAAACAGAAGUAGGGGAGCCUCCUAAGACUAUAUAGAGAGAGAGAGAGAAAGUCUGCCUACGUGGUCUACCACCAAACACUUGGUGUUACAAAAUUUUUUACUGUUAUAUAUUUUUUUUCUUUUAAUCAUUUUUACCCGUUAAAUUAUACUAUUCACGUCAACCAAAAACUCUUCAAUCUUUGGAGACUACUAUCAUCCUAAUCGCACAUCCCUUCAUCCAAGGGCCAAAAAUCUAAUAACACCAAUAAUUUGAUACUAUUAGAAGCAUUCCAGCCUAAUUAUAUGUAUAUAGAGUCCGGUUGGGACACAGUCGAUAGCACUAAGGGCUUGUGCUAUCGAGUUUUCCACCGUUAAAUUUAACUCUUUAAUUAUUUUUACCGAUUAGAUUAUACUAUUCAACCAACCAUCCACUCAACUCUAGGGGGGCCCACAUCAUUCUAACCGCACAUUUCUCAAUCCAAUAUCUAAAAAACUAAUAGCACCAAUAACUUGGUACAAUUAAUAGCAUCCCAGCCUAGUUAUAUAUAUAUAUAUAUAUAUAUAUAUAUAUAUAUAUAUAUAGAGAGAGAGAGAGAGAGAGAGAGAGAGAGAGAGAGAGAGCUAGGCUACUAUACUAUCCAUAGUACAAAAGCUCCGGUACUAUAGUGUUGUUUUCGAUCUUCAGGCGUUCAAAUCAACGAUCCACACCGUUAAAUAUGAUCUAGGGUAUAUGAUGUUUUUAGGAAUAAAAUUUUAGUUUUUUUCGAUAUCGUUUACUUAGUAAAUAAAUUAUGUCAAAAUGGAUGGUGGAAAUUGAAUGCUCUUUAAAAUUUGAGUAUAGAACUUUUAAAUUCAAGAUCAAGAAUGUUAACCUUAAUCUAUAUAGUUUAAAGUAUUUUCUAUCAAAAUUUGAAGAAAUUUAGAUUCUUCUACACCGUUAAACUCCAAACUCGUCGUAAUAGCCAUUGAAAAUUGACAAUUUUGAAAUGGUUUGAUCAUAAAGUAAACUAUAUCGAAAAAAUAUAAAAUUUUAUUUCUAGAAACUUUAAAUACCCUAAAUCAUAUUUAACGGUAUGAAUCGUUGAUUUGAACGCCCGAAGAUCGAAAACAACACCAUAGUACCGGAGCUCCGGUACUAUAGAUAGUAUAGUAGCCUAAUUCUAUAUAUAUAUAUAUAGCAAAUACGCAAAGAGAUUAAUUAGGCUAUAAAAAAAAUGAAAAGUGUCAAUAUAUAAGUCGAUCAAGCUGAGGGUACGAAAAUCACCGUUUUUUAAAAAAGAUUCUAAGUUCUAUGCGGUUAGCAAAAUUCUUAAACUGAUGCAGUAGAACACUUGUUUAUUCCUUUCAGAAUACAACGGCUCGAUUCUCGUCGAACCGAUGUAGUAGAAUACUAGCUUAUCCCUUACAGAAUAUAACGUUCGACUCUCAUCGUAUGACUUUACCAACUUUGCACAAGUUGAUGAGCUCAAAGUUUCAGCAAAAGAACAUUUUUUUUUUUGGCCUCUUUCUCUCGCUCUCAAAUAGAAUAGAAAUAAUUAUUUUUUUCUGUGAAAGAAGGAAAAACGAAUGAAUGUACAUAGGUUAUGCCUUCUUUAGUUGCAAAUUCAAAGCCACAAUUAAAAGGUAGAAGUUACAUUACAUUCAAUGCAUAGAUUAUCGAAAUUAAAAUUCAUAUUUAAUAAUAAAAAUACUAGAGAGAGAGAGAGUUGAGCUAGAAUGUUAUCGGUAGCAAAUGGGCUUAUUUGCCAUUCAUUUGUUUUCGAUGAUGGAGUCUCCAAAUCGACGAUCGGCACCGUUGAACAUGAUCUAUACCACUUGAAAAAUUUAGAAAUCAAAUUUUAUAAACUUUCGAUAUUUUUCUCUUAUCUAUCAAGUUGACACAAACAUAAACGGUUGAAAAUGAAUAUUUCUUUACAAAGUAAUGAUAGGAGUCUUAUAAUCAAGAUCAAGAGUACAAAUUUUGUUUCAAAUAGUUUAAAAAAUUUUCUAACAAAAAUUCAAUUUAUUUGGAUAAUUUUUACGUCUUUAAAUAAGAAAAUUGUCAUAUCGAUCAUUAAAAUUAUAAAUUUUAAAAUUCUUUGAUUAUUAGACGAAUGAUAUAAAAAAGAUUUGAAAUUUGAUUUUUAAAAACUUCAAAUUCUAGCUCAAUUAUAUAUAUAUAUAUAUAGAGAGAGAGAGAGAGAGAGAGAGAGAGUUCUUUGUGCUGCUUUUUGUACCAUGCAUAGCUCUUAACAUCCUUAAUUAAAAGCUUAUUUCGUGAAACAGACUUUAAAUUCAUCUAACGUGUGCAUUCUCCAGCCAUUUACGUGUACGCGUUGCGUGUACAAGAUGUAGUUGCGAAAUUAAUGCUUUAAUAAAAAAUAAAUAAAAGGCUAAAUUACAGAAAAUUUUGCUAUCAAAAUUCGAUUCUUUAUUUUUUCCUCCUGUCAUUUAAAAUCUAAACUUUGUCUUCUUAUAAAAUAAAAAAUGUUCACAGAGAAGUAUAUUAUGAAUUAUGAUGAUAGAGCGACUAUUUUGCUCCUCACCAUUUUGCCCCCCAUCAUUUUCAUAGGAGAGAAGACUAAGAGCAUUUUUGGCAUAAAAAUAUAUAUAAUAAUAUUUUAUAAACGAAAUCUUAACGGAUUACUAACGGCAGGAGGCGAAAUGAAUAUUUUUUAUUUUACAAGCGGGUAAAGUGUAGGUUUUUAAAUGACAGAAAAAAAAAAUAAAAAAUCGAAUUUUGAUAGGAGAAUUUUAUGUAAUUUAGCCUAAAUAAAAAGGGCAAAAAGCCAUGAUCUCUUCCUCUUCUCACU
RNAcentral lists this long non-coding RNA (2894 nucleotides) under Ananas comosus (pineapple). RNAcentral's name for it is "long non-coding RNA (ACOM_LNC043652)". The record is from RNAcentral. Lineage: Eukaryota; Viridiplantae; Streptophyta; Magnoliopsida; Poales; Bromeliaceae.